This 253-nucleotide ribosomal RNA is filed under the name uncultured bacterium. Its description in RNAcentral is "partial 16S ribosomal RNA". It matches the Rfam family "Bacterial small subunit ribosomal RNA", at positions 524 to 776 of the family's 1533-position model. The record is from RNAcentral.
UACGUAGGGUGCAAGCGUUAAUCGGAAUUACUGGGCGUAAAGCGUGCGCAGGCGGUGAUGUAAGACAGAUGUGAAAUCCCCGGGCUUAACCUGGGAACUGCAUUUGUGACUGCAUGGCUGGAGUGCGGCAGAGGGGGAUGGAAUUCCGCGUGUAGCAGUGAAAUGCGUAGAUAUGCGGAGGAACACCGAUGGCGAAGGCAAUCCCCUGGGCCUGCACUGACGCUCAUGCACGAAAGCGUGGGGAGCAAACAGG